AGUGCCACUUUUGAGCACCCACUGAAGACAAGCUUCACCAAUUCAGAGAAGAUUAGCAUGGCCCCUGUGCAAGAAUGACAUGAAAAUUCAUGAAGCAUUCCAUAUUUUU
Molecule: small nuclear RNA, 109 nt
Organism: Moschus moschiferus (Siberian musk deer)
Lineage: Eukaryota; Metazoa; Chordata; Mammalia; Artiodactyla; Moschidae
Source: Ensembl